UGAGCAAUCUGCCCUUCUCUUUGGAAUAAGCGUUGGAAACGACGUCUAAUGCCGAAUACGACCUUCUUUCGCAUGAUCGGAGGUGGAAAAGCUCCGGCGGAGAAGGAUGAGCUCGCGGCCUAUCAGCUAGUUGGUGUGGGUAAUAGCCCACCAAGGCGACGACGGGUAGCCGGCCUGAGAGGGUGACCCGGCCACACGUGGGACUGAGACACGGCCCAGACCUCCGACGGGAGNAGCG
RNAcentral lists this ribosomal RNA (238 nucleotides) under uncultured bacterium. RNAcentral's name for it is "partial 16S ribosomal RNA". It matches the Rfam family "Bacterial small subunit ribosomal RNA", at positions 118 to 347 of the family's 1533-position model. The record is from RNAcentral.